CUAGGCACGUGCAGAAUUAAGCUACUGCCUGCUGCAGUUAAUGCUGUUAGAGUACUUUGAUCUGAAGUGCCUGCCAAGGUUAGUGUGCUUUCCAUGUUCUUUGUUGCUGGUUUUAUUUUGUCCUUAAGUAGACAUUUGAUACCUUUCAGUUUGAGAAAACAGCAUGAAGUACCUCCGUAUUCUUAUCCCACUGGAGAUUGGUGUCUAAGCCAGCAUUUCUUUGUGGAUGGGAAAAGGGAAGUACUUUGUCACGCUGGCUUCUGAAAACGUGGCUUGGCAAUUGCUGUGCAGUUCUUAGUAGUCUUGCACUGUCUGUGCCAUAGUCCUGCAGAGAGGUGGCUUAUACAGUGCCAUUAAGAUGAAGGCAAAUGCCUUGAUUUUCAUUCUUCUGCUUGUCUCUGCAUAUGUAACAGCAUUCAAGAAAAUGGCUGUCAUGUCGUCUGAACAGCUCAGAGCACCUGGGCAGCUCUUCCCGUUUCCAUGUUACUUCAGACUGUCCUGAGGUCACGUUCCUACUUUUUUCUUUUCUGCUCACUCUCACUAAAAAACCCCAGCAAACAGCUCUACCUCCUGUAGUCAAUUAUUCCUUAGGAAGAAGCCCUUCUGUGCUUUCUCUUGCUGGUCUCUUUACUCUGUCUGCCACGGAACUGAUGCUUUAAGAUGUGCUGUAGUAUAAUUCUGUAAUCUUCUUCUAUGGAUAGAAUUUGUUUUGGAAAUGUGGUUACUUUACGUUGGAAAUAAUUUUUGUAUGUGACAUUAAUUUGCUCGGACUAGAAAUCACAGCUAUUUUUACUGAGAUGCAAUUAUUUUCUUCUGAUCUCUGUUCCAUUUCAUCUCAGCACACGCAGCAUAGUUUACUCAGCCAGGCUGGUUGUACUUGUGAGUGGACGGACGCUUAAAGGAGGUGGAAGCUCUGCAGCCAUGACAGAUGGCCCAGGAAACCUUACUGUCAUCAAAGCUGUGGUAAUGUACAUCAACAGAAGGGGAAUAGACAAAGGAAAUGUGCUGUUACAAAGAGCCAGCUUUGGUUUAUGCCGUAUCUGACCGGAGGGGGAGCUUUUCUUCACACCUUGCUGUGUAUGAAAUCUACACUCAAACUGCACUCGAUGGGCAGAAAUGUAGCUGAGCAGAGCCUCCAGCAGCUCAGGCCUUUCCUUCAAACUGUGAAGAUGGCGUUAAUAUUCGUAAGUCAUAAAUCUCGUAUCAAAACUUAAUUCUGAUAUGGACAUACCUCGCUGUGGGAGACGUGGCAGGUGUGGUCUUUGAGUCACCACAGGUGUGGGACACGUGAAGUAAUCUGGACGUGUUUCAAUUUCUGUGUAUUUUUCCCCGUUUCUCUGAUCAUUUCUCUGUAUUGCUGCAUCUGGCGGGGAUUGCUGUCCUGGCCCAGAGCUCUGUUCCCUCAUGGGCUGCACUCGUUUUGCUGUCCCACCAUUUGGGUUGCACAGGCCAUCCACGUCCAGUGUUCCCAUCCUCCUGGGCCUCCACACACAUGGCAGUUAGCAAGAAGGAGCAAAGUUGUUCAACCUUGUCCUAAAGUUAUCAAUCUGUUCAUCCAACCUGUGCCUUGGUCACAGUGGCAGCGUGCCGUUAGCAAUGCCAUCACUGCUCUCAGGUCACCAGCUCUGACAGGAGGCACUGGGGAUAAUUUCAGGUGAGGCCGUUCUUCAUAUCCAGGCACACAGAUGGUAUCUUUUUCCAAAUGGACCGUGCUGGUAGGCGGGUAAAUCCAGUCGUGCAGGAUCUGCAAAAUAAAAUUACGUACUACGUACGUAGUUCUCCAGAGCGGUGGUGAUCUGAGGUGGAUCUCCUUUUCUCACAACUGUUUUUAAAACUGGCAAUAUCAGUAAUUGUUCUGUCAUGGGUUGAAUAAUUAAAUCUUGUUCACCAUUGCUGAACAGAAUUUGAUUUAUCCUUAAUAAUCUGCAUCCAUUACUCCUCUCAUGACGUGAGUUUUCUUCCUCCAAAACCCAAGGGAACCUUUUUCUUUCCCUGUUUUUGCCAGAAGCUCCAAUUGGCACGUGCCCCAUUUGCAGACACGUUUAACUCUGUUUCUGCUUUUUGCAUGGGCCCUAAGUCUGAGGCCCUUUGAAGAGCCUUUGUUGCUAAUUCAAAGGCAACCUGCUGUUCGUUUCCCUCUCCAACUCUUCCUUGUCACUUUGUAUAUAUAUGGGGUUAAAAUUUGUCCUAGGUAUGGAACAUAAAAAACCAAACAGCCCAAUACACUGCUGUGCCUCAUUCAUAUUUUAGGGUACUGCAAAGUCUAGAAUGUUGUGUCGGGUUUUGGGUAGUAUUCCCCAAUGCCCCAAAUGCCUCUGAGUUCCUAAAAAUGUCACUGUUUGAAUUUCAGUAGGAUGAAUUUCCCAGCCUUUCUGUUUCAUCUGAUCCACAACCAAUUCCAGCAUUUGUUGCACCUCUUCCUCAGUUUCCCUGAGUCAGGACGUCAUCUACGUAAUGAACUGUUUGCAUGUGAGGAGGCAGUUUGGUGUCAUGCAGAUGUUCAGCCACAGUUCUGUGGCAGAUGGUUGGGCUGUGCAGCCGUCCCUGAGGCCAUCUACAGACAGGAUCUUGUCACCUCUGCCAUGGGAAGGCGUUCCUCCGCAGUCGGGAUCGUGAAGAAGCUAGUGUUAGCUAAAUCAAUUACAGCAUGCCCUGCUCUGGAAUGGUUCUGAGCUUCUGCUGUUAAAGCAACACUACCUGCUGCAGCUGCUGUGAGAGGCGGGGUGAGCUUGUUUAAUUCCUCCCAAACCCACCGCUAUUUGACAGGCCAUGUUGGAUUGUUCCGAGCUGUAGUAGUUGACUUCAAAACUCCUGCACCCAUUAAAUCAUUAAUUGUCCUUGAUAUCUCUUCAUGCUCCCCCUCCCCCCAGGUCCUGUACUGUUUCAUUGUCACUACUUCAGUUGCAGCAGGAAUCUGCACAGCAGGCAUUGUUACUUUUCCCACUGAAAUUGUUGGAGCACGAAUGCAAUUCCUUAUUCCAAAUUGGGGCUGAGCGCUGGGGAGAUUCAGUGUUAGUCAUUUUAGAAUGCCCAUCCCUGUGAUGUAUUCUGGGGUGGGGACAGUCAUCACAGGAUGCAGUCGUUGUGGGAGGUUUCCUAUUCUCAUUUCUAUUUGUGUUUGUACAGCUUCAGGUUGUUUCCCUCCCAACCCUAUAAUAAUUACCAGAUGUCCUUCAUGUUUCUUGAGGUUCCCAUAUGUUAAGGAGGCCUCUGCUCCGGGGUCAUUUAGGGCUCUUACAGUUUGCGAGGAUCCAUUUUUCCAAAAUAUUUGGAGCUCCCUCAGAGCAGCUGAUCCUCUCGCGUUGGGCCCUGUGAGCAGAUGAGAGUCCCAUUGAGGCGCUCAAGGGAGUGCAGCAGCUGGAAUUGUUCCUGGGUCUUUUGCUUUAGAAUUUGGCACUUUCUUGCUAGGUUUCUUAACCCCUCUCUGUUUAUGUAUCCUCUGUAAUUCAGGAGUUGGAAAACCAUCCAUCUUAUUGUGAGGCAUCCUGUCUUGUAAUAAAGCUGUAAACACUUCUUUUCAAGAAA
Molecule: long non-coding RNA, 3525 nt
Organism: Tympanuchus pallidicinctus (lesser prairie-chicken)
Lineage: Eukaryota; Metazoa; Chordata; Aves; Galliformes; Phasianidae
Exons: 2
Source: RefSeq, a predicted model, not a curated record